Molecule: long non-coding RNA, 1209 nt
Filed under: Homo sapiens (human)
Lineage: Eukaryota; Metazoa; Chordata; Mammalia; Primates; Hominidae
Description: non-protein coding lnc-SLX1B-3:26
Source: RNAcentral
AAGCUUUAAACCAGCAGAGACCUCAGACAAAUCAUAUCCCUCCUGGGGUGACCAGGUGCAGAUCUUCCAGGGAGCCGUCUAAUGGAAUUUCCUGGUUAAUGGACACAGAGAACCACUGCUAAGAACGAUUUCCUUUUCUCUUUCAAUCUGCAGUACUUUUUAUGAAGACUGGUCUUUUGUGAUGGAUGAAGAGAGGUCCAGUAUGCUUCCUACCAUGGCAGCAGGUCCGAACUCCAUACUCUUUGCGAUUAACAUUGACAACAAGGAUUUGAACGGGCAGAGUAAGUUUGCUCCCACCGUUUCAGACCUCUUAAAGGAGUCAACGCAGAAUGUGACCUUGCUGAAGGAGUCCACGCAAGGAGUGAGCAGCGUGUUCAGGGAGAUCACAGCCUCCUCUGCCAUCUCCAUCCUCAUCAAACCUGAACAGGAGACCGACCCCUUGCCCGUCGUGUCCAGGAAUGUCAGUGCUGAUGCCAAAUGCAAAAAGGAGCGGAAGAAGAAAAAGCAAGUGACCAACAUUAUCUCAUUUGAUGAUGAGGAAGAUGAGCAGAACUCUGGGGACAUGUUUAAAAAGACACCUGGGGCAGGGGAGAGCUCAGAGGACAACUCCGACCACUCCUCUGUCAAUAUCAUGUCCGCCUUUGAAAGCCCCUUCGGGCCAAACUCCAAUGGAAGUCAGAGCAGCAACUCGUGGAAAAUUGAUUCCCUGUCUUUGAACAGGGAGUUUGGGUACCAGAAGCUUGAUGUGAAAAGCAUCGAUGAUGAAGAUGUGGAUGAAAACGAAGAUGACGUGUAUGGAAACUCAUCAGGACGGAAGCACAGGGGCCACUCAGAGUCGCCCGAGAAAAACGGAGCACACUCUGUCACCCAGGCUGGAGUGCAAUGGCACGAUCUCAGCUCACUACAACCUCUGCCUCCCGGGUUCAAGUGAUUCUACUGCCUCAGCCUCCUAAGUAGCUGGGAUUACAGGCGCCUGCCACCACACCCAGCUAAUUUUUGCAUUUUUAGUAGAGAAAGGGUUUCGCCAUGUUGGCCAGGCUGGUCUUGAACUCCUGACUUCAGGUGAUCCUCCUCGCCUGCCUUGCCUCCCAAAGUGCUGGGAUUACAGGCAUAAGCCACCACGCCCGGCCCUGCCUCUUGAGCUGGGGAGUUCAAGACCAGCCUGGGCAACAUAAUGAGAUUUCAGCUCUAUUAAAAAUAAUAAUAAUU